AAAUGCGAUAAUUAAUGUGAAUUGCAGAAUUCAGUGAAUCAUCGAGUCUUUGAACGCACAUUGCGCCCCCUGGCAUUCCGGGGGGCAUGCCUGUCCGAGCGUCAUUGCUGCCCUCAAGCACGGCUUGUGUGUUGGGCUUCCGUCCCUGGCAACGGGGACGGGCCCAAAAGGCAGUGGCGGCACCAUGUCUGGUCCUCGAGCGUAUGGGGCUUUGUCACCCGCUCCCGUAGGUCCAGCUGGCAGCUAGCCUCGCAACCAAUCUUUUUAACCAGGUUGACCUCGGAUCAGGUAGGGAUACCCGCUGAACUUAAGC
This 313-nucleotide unclassified non-coding RNA is filed under the name plant metagenome. RNAcentral's name for it is "partial contains 5.8S ribosomal RNA, internal transcribed spacer 2, and large subunit ribosomal RNA". The stretch from base 1 to 104 matches the Rfam family "5.8S ribosomal RNA", at positions 51 to 154 of the family's 154-position model. The record is from RNAcentral.